RNAcentral lists this ribosomal RNA (223 nucleotides) under Escherichia coli. RNAcentral describes it as "partial 23S ribosomal RNA". It matches the Rfam family "Bacterial large subunit ribosomal RNA", at positions 1646 to 1851 of the family's 2925-position model. Lineage: Bacteria; Pseudomonadati; Pseudomonadota; Gammaproteobacteria; Enterobacterales; Enterobacteriaceae. The record is from RNAcentral.
ACCCCAAACCGACACAGGUGGUCAGGUAGAGAAUACCAAGGCGCUUGAGAGAACUCGGGUGAAGGAACUAGGCAAAAUGGUGCCGUAACUUCGGGAGAAGGCACGCUGAUACGUAGGUGAAGUCCCUUGCGGAUGGAGCUGAAAUCAGUCGAAGAUACCAGCUGGCUGCAACUGUUUAUUAAAAACACAGCACUGUGCAAACACGAAAGUGGACGUAUACGGU